Sander lucioperca (pikeperch) is the source of this 296-nucleotide long non-coding RNA. RefSeq lists it as uncharacterized. The transcript is spliced from 4 exons. The record is from RefSeq and is a predicted model, not a curated record. Lineage: Eukaryota; Metazoa; Chordata; Actinopteri; Perciformes; Percidae.
CUUUCAUUACCUGCAACUAAGGCUGGGCAAUAGUUCAAUAUGAUGAUUUAUCGUCUUUCAAUGGAAUCAUAUCGUGAUGAACUCAUAUAUCGAGCUAUUGUGACAUGCAAUGACGUCUAAAUUGAUAAUAACAAUCACAUACUAACUCAAUUUUCUCAGAAAAUCUGUUGUGAAACACUUUGAGGGAAUAUCAUUUGAAGAAUUGCAGAUUUGUUUUAACGUCACAUUUGUGUGCAAGCAUGUAAACACAGUCAGUAUACAGCUGGGAAGAAAUUAUCUAUUUUUUCUCUAUAAUU